GAAUCACUCUGUGAAAGAGCUGGUUUGAAGGAAGGGUGAGGCUGGUGAAUGGGCAGAGAACCAGGAGAGACAAACAGGCAAGAGUGGCUGGGGGAAGUAGGGCACAUGCUGCCUUUAAUCCAUUGAGCCUGACCUAGGCACUCGUUGAUGUCCCAAGGAAAUGUUCAAAGAAGAAGCUGCUUACACAGUCAUUUGCUCCAGUUCAUUGCCCCAAGCCUGGCGCCACAUGCAGCAAUGCGAAAUCAUUCCAGGUAUAAAUGUGAUGGACCAGCAGUAGCCAUCUUGGAAACAUAAAGCAAGGAGCCAACAUGCUAAGAGAGAAUCCUCAACAAUACUACUUCCUCUACAGCCCGGAUGUAACCGCAACUGUCUUUAGCGUAAUAUACCCAGGCAUUAUGGGACUUUUCCCUGGGCCUCCAGAGAACGGAGGACUGGAACUCGGCCCCACCAGAAAUCAGACCAGACCAGAACCAGAAUUCGAGUUCUCUGCCAAGAGGAGGUGACCAGUCUCCAAUCCUCAGCUCAGGCUGAGGGCCCUUUGACCAGAUUCCUGCAUCCAGGACAGGGGGACUAGAAAAACAGGUCUGGCACAAAGAAGGUCCUUAAUAAUCAUUCAUUAAAGUUUUAUUUUGAAU
Long non-coding RNA from Bos taurus (domestic cattle), 635 nucleotides. The record is from Ensembl. NCBI's taxonomy places the organism in Eukaryota, Metazoa, Chordata, Mammalia, Artiodactyla, Bovidae.